This is a small nuclear RNA of Alligator mississippiensis (American alligator), 161 nucleotides long. It matches the Rfam family "U1 spliceosomal RNA". Rfam says of the family: U1 is a small nuclear RNA (snRNA) component of the spliceosome (involved in pre-mRNA splicing). The record is from Rfam. NCBI's taxonomy places the organism in Eukaryota, Metazoa, Chordata, Crocodylia, Alligatoridae.
GAACUUACCUGGCAGGGGAGAUACUGUGGUCAACAGGCUUUCCCAGGGUGAGGCCUGUCCAUUGCAAUCUGGACAGGCUAACCAAUGCAAGUUUCCCGUAUGUGGUAAACUUGACUGCACUAUUUUGUGGUAAUGGGGGACUGUGUUUGUGCUCUCCUCUG